RNAcentral lists this long non-coding RNA (292 nucleotides) under Brachypodium distachyon (stiff brome). RNAcentral describes it as "long non-coding RNA (BDIS_LNC004507)". The record is from RNAcentral. Lineage: Eukaryota; Viridiplantae; Streptophyta; Magnoliopsida; Poales; Poaceae.
UCAGCGACUCGCGGCGGGCGCGUGGCGGGCGGGGCCGGUCUGGCUCGGUCGGUUCGCGCGGGACGGGGCUGGUUCGGCCCAAUUCGGCCGGGCCGGUCCGGUUUUCCCCUUUUUCUUCCUUUUCUUUUUCCUUUUCUUUUUGUCCUUUGUAUCUUUUGAUUUUCAACUCUAAAUUGGUCCAAAUAAAUUCCAGAAAAUUUGUAAAAUCAUGUUUUAUCAUGAUUCAAAUUUUGGGAGUAAUUUUCCCUCAAAAUAAAAUAUAUAAAAAUACAUUUGCCCUAUAAAUGCCUUU